Molecule: ribosomal RNA, 785 nt
Filed under: Obama marmorata
Lineage: Eukaryota; Metazoa; Platyhelminthes; Tricladida; Geoplanidae
Description: partial 28S ribosomal RNA
Rfam family: Eukaryotic large subunit ribosomal RNA
Source: RNAcentral
GGUGUUAGACCCGUUGGAGUAUACUCGGUGGCUAUUGAUGUUUCCUAUGAGUCGGAUUGYUUGAKAAUGCAGUCCAAAUUUGGUGGUWAACUCCMUCUAAGGCUAAAUACUUGUAUGASUCCKAUAGCRAACAAGUACCGKGAGGGAAAGUUGAAAAGAACUUUGAAGAGAGAGUUAAAUAGUACGUGAAAUCGCUUAGAGGUAAACGAGUGGAGCCGAAAAAGUCGGACGGGAUUCAGUUGGGUGUAUGAUGAUGAUCGGUUCGGUGAAAACCACAAAAGGCAUCACUGUUUCGGUAUGUUUGUUGUACGCACAAUGCACUUUCUGUUCGAUUAGACUGUGACCAAUAGUGUUGUUUUACUGUCSUAAUGUUGAAGGUGACCASYUGCUUGCGAUUGGUUUUAUAGCUCAUUGCAYGGUGAAAUUAAUGUAUUGGUGAAUAUGCAAUCABUCAACGUUGAUAGUAUGUUAUAUGUGUGGUUUGCUAGBUGGCUACAUGUAGACUGUUAUCADAUCAUAUGUGUGAUGYAAUGUCGAUGGAUUGGUUUAAAGUCACAGUAUAAUGUAGGUUAUCUACUCGUCCCGKCUUGAAACACGGACCAAGGAGUUUUAUAUGAUCGCGAGUCAAAGGGCUGUACGAAACCCCAGGGCGCAAUUAAUGUAAAGGUUUACUUCRAGUAGACUGAGAUGUGACCUGAAAGUGUUUGGUCACAAGCCKAAUGCAAUCAGUGCAACAUCGACCCGUCUAAAGAUGUUCGCAUCUGGGCGGAGUUUGAGCGAUCAUG